Molecule: ribosomal RNA, 393 nt
Filed under: uncultured bacterium
Lineage: Bacteria
Description: partial 16S ribosomal RNA
Rfam family: Bacterial small subunit ribosomal RNA
Source: RNAcentral
AUACGGAGGAUGCGAGCGUUAUCCGGAUUUAUUGGGUUUAAAGGGUGCGUAGGCGGUUUUUUAAGUCAGCGGUGAAAUGCAAGGGCUCAACCCUUGACCUGCCGUUGAAACUGGAGGACUUGAAUGCGGAUGCUGUGGGAGGAAUGUGGGGUGUAGCGGUUAAAUGCAUAGAUAUCACACAGAACAACGAUUGCGAAGGCAUCUCACAAAUCCGUGAUUGACGCUGAGGCACGAAAGUGUGGGGAUCAAACAGGAUUAGAUACCCUGGUAGUCCACACUGUAAACGAUGAUGACUCGCUGUCGGCGAUAUACAGUCGGUGGCCAAGCGAAAGCGAUAAGUCAUCCACCUGGGGAGUACGACCGCAAGGUUGAAACUCAAAGGAAUUGACGGGG